This 86-nucleotide transfer RNA is filed under the name Actinomycetota bacterium. RNAcentral's name for it is "tRNA-Leu". It matches the Rfam family "tRNA". Rfam says of the family: Transfer RNA (tRNA) molecules are approximately 80 nucleotides in length. Their secondary structure includes four short double-helical elements and three loops (D, anti-codon, and T loops). The record is from RNAcentral. Lineage: Bacteria; Bacillati; Actinomycetota.
GCGGGCGUGGCGGAACUGGCAGACGCGCCGGGUUUAGGUCCCGGUGGGCCGCAAGGUCCUUGGAGGUUCGAGCCCUCUCGCCCGCA